Molecule: non-coding RNA, 5002 nt
Organism: Oryzias latipes (Japanese medaka)
Lineage: Eukaryota; Metazoa; Chordata; Actinopteri; Beloniformes; Adrianichthyidae
Source: RefSeq, a predicted model, not a curated record
ACAAACAAAAAUAAAAAGUUUUUUUUUGGUGUGAAUGUGAGUGCAUGUGUAAAUGGAGUGAACUAGUCCGAAGCAGCGGGCAGCUGGAAACCUUGUGGUGUUAACACAAGGCUGCUUGUUGACGUAGAACACGAUUUCAUCUCAUUAGGCUUUAGGUGAAAAGUACCCAGAGUCUAAAACGGGUUUUGCUCCUGGGAGGACCCUAAACGUGUGACCGGAUCAGACAAUAGGUCUGACCUAGAAGCUUGUUGCACGGGGAGUGAAAUUCGGUCCUGAGAGACAUUCUUUGUUGGUUCUGAUCACACUCUGUGACUAACGUAAUAAAUAAAAAUGAAAUAAAAAAAUGGGGGAAUUCAAAUAAAAAAGUUGAAUUAACAUGAGAUUAAAAACAUAUGGAAAGAGUUCAUCCAGAUUCAACUACAUUCUUGGGAAAAUGGGAUAAAAACUACGAUUUUAAGGGGAAUGUACUGAAUUAGUUCAACGGUUACCAAUUCAAACCAGAAUAAAAACUAAAAAAGAAACAAAAAAAUAGUGAAGAAUUAAUUUUUGCAAAACUGUGCUUAAAUGAAGCAAUGAAAAAUAAAGAAUGGCAUUCAGAAAAGUAAAACUAGAGAAGCAUGUCUGAUUGCUAAAAAAGUGGACGAUGAAUCAGUUGUGAGACUCAGACCCCUGCAACAGCAGGCUGCAGACCGAGCAGGAGCAGGAUGAAAGGGGGGGAGAGCAGAAACCAGCUGAUUUCUCACCUCCUCCCUACCAGGGGACAAAUGCUCCUCUGUUGACGGGUUUUUACCCACCAGUGACUGAUUUAAAUAAACCAGAAAAAGAAAAAAUGACGUUAAGAGGAAAAGGAAAAAAACUUGAAUGGAGUCAUACUUUGGGGGUUGGUUUGGAAGAAGCUGGAGAGCCAUCUAAAGUUGCAGAGACAUUUCCAAUGAUUGAAGUGUCCAAUCCCAGAGCUGGAGAAGAUGGCCAGAGGCCUACACUUCUUUUGUUUAGCACCUGGACAUUAGAGGAUGUUGGGAAGGCGGUGAGGGGAGUUAUCUCUCACAGGUAAAAUCCACAGGAUUUUCACGGGCAAAUGAUGGAAGUUCAGAGAGCUUAUCAUCUGAAUGGCAUUAAAUGUCAGCAAGUAUGUAUGACUGCUAUGAAAGCAGACUGGGCAAAAGUAAAGGAAUCCUAUGAAUGAUGACGAUCCACCCAGACCUCUUCCGCAUAACAGUUAAGAGUUCAUUCAAAGUCUUACACUUUUAGGACAAAGAAUUAGAGAAGCCUUUCCAAUGAGACCUGCUUAGAGAAAGAUUGGUCAACCUAAGCAAAAAGAUGGAGAGUUAGUGUCUGAUUUUAUAGUCAAAUUUGAAGAAGUUUUAAAGCUAAUAGUGGACUCAGAGAUGAUGAUAAUGAUGAAAGUCCCUAUAGACAGCAGCUGAAACAAGCUUUACUGUAAGUUAUGAAACCAGAGAUUGCAGACUAGAUAAGGAAGCAUUACAUAGAUCUGCCUACAGGAGCGCUACAACAGUUUAUGAAUUUUGCUGUGCAUGCACAAAAAGUGAUGGUGAAUAGAAAGAAAUUUAGGAAUCAAGGUGUAGUUACAUUUUGGCAGGAGGAAAGUAGUAGUUAUGUGGUUUUUGGAAGGAUUAUGAAGAGAGGAAAAAAUCGUGGUCAUGGAAAAGGAAAUCUUCGAAGAAGGUUUAGAGGAAGUAGCAACAGAGGGUCAGAGCAAGUUGAUGAUGGAUGUUGGAUUUUUGGACAGAGAGAUCAUUGGGAGAGAGAGAUUGUCCUGAAAGGAAGAAAUCAGAUUGACUAGAUGGUAGAAGUAAUGACAAGAUAAAAGAUGAAUCUGAACCAGAAAUUCAACCAAUUAGUGAUGAAUUUUUAGAUCUCACUGAAAGAGAAAUAGUUUUUGUUGAUGGGUCAGCAAAGACAGAUGAAACAGGCAGAAACAAAGUAGGUUUCCCUGUUGUAACUCAAGAUAAGGUUCUGAAGGUAGGACCCCUGCAUGGAAAUUCCUCAGCACAAUCAGCAGAGUUGACAGCUUUAACUGAAGCAUGCAAACUGUUUAAAGAUAAGCCAGUUACGAUCUAUACUGAUAGCCAAUAUGCGUUUGCUACUGUGCAUUUAUUUUGUCAACAGUGGAAGAACGAAGGGUUUUGAAACAUCAACAGGAAAGUCAAUAACGCAUGAAAACUUACUAAAAGAAUUAUUAACUGCUGUAAUGUUACCAUCUAAAGUGGCAUUAUGUAAAUGCGAGACACACGAAAAACAGAUCCUAUUUCUAAAGGGAAUGCCUUUGCAGAUGUAACAGCAAAGCAAGCUGCAACAAAAGAUGUAGAAAUAUGCACAAAUGAGGAUGUGAUUGCAGAUGCAACCGCUGAUGUUUUAAAAAAGAAAUGCCACCCAGUGCACCAAAACAAGAAAAAAAAAUUGGUUGAAAAAGGGAGCAAAGUUAGAACAAGGUCUUUAUGUCAGCACAGAAGGAAAACCUAUUUAACCAAAAUCCAUGUACAAAUGGGCAGCAAUUUUGAGUCAUGGGCUUUGCCAUGAUUCAACAGGGGGGGGGAUGACUUUAUUAGAGAAAUAUUAUACAAUUUAUGGAUUUAAUCUCUAUUCAAAAUUUUUUUGUAAACAAUGUGUUACAUGUAUGAGUCAUAAUCCCCAAGGCAAUGUUAGACCUAAGAGAGGAAAAUUUCCUGAACCAACUUUUCCUUUCCAUACAAUCCAUAUGGAUUUUAUUGAAUUAAAUAAAAGCAAAUAAUUGAAAUAUUGUUUAGUGAUUAUUGAUGCAUUUUCCAAAUGGGUUGAAAUUUUUCCAUGUGCAACACAGGAUGCUCUUACAGUAGCUAAAGCUAUUUGUAAAAGAAUAAUCCCAACUCUUGGCAUACCACAAGUGAUAAGAAGUGAUAAUGGUACACAUUUUGUAAAUCAUGUGAUAGACAAAAUGGCUCAACAUCUUUGUAUUUAUUUAAAGAGACAUUGUAGUUAUCACCCACAGAGUGCAGGAUUAGUUAAGAAAACUAAUAGCACUAUCAAAUCAAAGUUAAAGAAAUGCAUGGAAGAGACAAACAGACAGUAGCCUGACUGCAUAGACUUAGUCCAACUAAGCAUGCGUAUCACACGCACAGCAGGUCAACCUUUAACGUCUUUUGAAAUGUUGUAUGGACGUUCUUAUAGGUUACCAGACCUUGAUCCUACACAGCAACAUUCUCCAGAUGAUGAUGCCAAUUUAGUGGAUUAUUUGAGAAAAAUGUUUACCACUAAAAAUGUGCAAAGGACAAAUCAAGUGCCAGAUUCCUUUUUAUCUCCACAGGACACUUCACCAGUGCAGGUUGUUGACUGGGUGUUUGUGAAGGCCAUAAAAAGGAAGUGUUGGUCCAGCCCACGGUGGGAAGGCCCAUUCCAAGUCCUGCUGACUACACCAACAGCUGUAAAGAUUGCUGAAAGGACGUCUUGGAUCCAUCUAUCACACUGCAAGAAAAAGCAUCUGGGUGAGGCUAAUUCCAACUGCUAGGUGGGGAAGUCUGGCUACAAAGGGAGGCAGCUGUAUAGAAGCUGCUUGUCUCAACGUCAGCGAAGCAGGGGAAUCCACCUAGUCUUAGGGAAGAAAGCACAACAGAUCUCUUUUGCACUACACGGAUCCUAAACUGUUAGAGGACUUGAGGAGGUAAUGUGCUAGUAACCUCUCCCUCACGAAGAUAGGCACAUAUCCACCAUGGCGUGUCCAACUGGGCUAAGAGACAGUUUAUUUUGUUUACUGUUCCUGCUACUCUCAGCAGGAGCCACCACAUGGAUUUGGUUCUUUUGGAAUCGUUAUCCACCUGCAAGAAGAACCACCAACGAGGAAAGAAACAUUUCUCAAUGAUGGCUGAGUAUUGAUGAACAUGAUGUUUUGAAUAGUCCAAAAACGAACAUAACUCACCUGUAUGUGACAAAUUCUUGAUAUAGGUAUGUUAUGUUACUGGCUAGAGAAAGGAAUAGAUCUAAUUGCUAUGUUUGUUCUGUAAUUCCAACUUCAUCCUUACAUCCUAAUUUACAGGCAAAGCAAUUUUCUGAGUGGAAAAGCGACUGUGUUAUUGAAUAUAGUACCAGAGGGUAUAUUAGUACUGGAGCCGUUACCACCUCAAAUGGUACUCUUGUAAGACCGAGUUGUAAGAGUUUGUAUCAGUUUAAAAAACUGAAAUUAACAACAUCAUUAGCUCCAUAUGCUAGUGUGGAACCAGGAACUGUGUUUCCACAUUGCGUAACUAACAAUGGCACAGAGUUUUUAGGAACUUUGCCGACGAAGAUGUGUCAUGAACUUCUUGUUCCCUUCACAGUCCAGAUAAUCAAUGACAGAGUUUCCCAUGGUCAUGCAGUUCCCUGCCCCAGAGGACGUUGUGUUGGAUCUAAUCCAGAUUUAAUGCCAGGUAACAAUGGUACUUAUGUGGUUCAUCAAAUGUUUUGGUUAUGUGGGCAUGCCCUCUACCUCAGUCUGCCUAGAGACUGGAGUGGGAUUUUGUGCUUCUGUAAAGGUCACAGGUCACACUUUCAUAGUUUCUGCAGUCCGUGAGCCUCACCUGCGCCACAGACGUAACCUUAGUGAUGUCAAGCCACAUGAUUCCAUUUGGGGAUCAGAUGUACCUGAAGACCAUAAACACUGGAAUACUGGGGAAAAGAUGAAGGUCACAGCAUCACUGAAGCAUUACAUCAACUUGAAACGGUUCAGCAGGCAAUGCAGGAUGACAGGAAACCCCAAUCUUGGGAUUUCUUCUCCUGGUUUGCUUUUGGUUCCUGGUGGCAACUUUUGUAAAAAAAUAGUGACACCUGUCCUUAUGGUACUGAUCAUAUGUUGUGUGUUCACUAUGUGCAUUUUUCCUUGUAUCCAAUCUAUGAUUUCCAGAGCAGUGAAUGGUGGAGUACAAAGUGUUCUUCUGAGUCAAGAAUACAACUUGUUUUUAAAGGGAGAACAGGAUGACUGUAAUGAUUUUGAAAUUGAAAUGACUUGAAACUUGAAAAAAAAAAAAAAAAA